Molecule: long non-coding RNA, 1997 nt
Organism: Eucalyptus grandis
Lineage: Eukaryota; Viridiplantae; Streptophyta; Magnoliopsida; Myrtales; Myrtaceae
Exons: 6
Source: RefSeq, a predicted model, not a curated record
ACCGAGACAUCCUUCCGAAUCUGACAAAUUUAGUGGUGAAGAAUUCCUCUGGAUUGGUACAUCUAGUAACGACUUCAGCAGUCACAAAUUUGGUACAUCUCACUUAUAUGACUAUAAUAGGAUGUGAAAGAAUGAAAGAAGUAGUGGCCGACGAUGGAAACAGAGAAGGAAAAGUGAUUUCUUUUGAAAAGCUAGAAUGGUUGACACUUGAACAUCUGCCAAACUUAGAAUGCUUCUCUUCCAUCCCAAGUUGCAUCUUUAGGUUCCCAUCCUUAUGGAAUAUUGAAGUGGAAGAGUGUCCAAAAAUGAAGACCUUUUCUAAGGGUACACUAAGCACACCAAAACUAUCUUAUGUGUCACUGUUCAGAUACAAGUGGGAAGGGAAUUGGGAGAAGGGUGAUGAUCUCAAUACAACCAUACAGAAGUUAGCAGCAUAAAUCAAUGCACAUAGAAUUGUAGGAAGCAAAGCGGGUCUCUCCUUCUCCUUCUCCUUCUUGACGCCAAAGGCUCUUUCUCCAUCUUUCUUCUUCUUCUUCCUCCUCCGUGGAGCGAAAUUGGGGGAAGCCUCUGCUGCCUUCACAAAGGACGGAGCAAAAAUGAAGCAUCAGGAAUUGCCAGGACUGCGAGAAGCGAAGCUGCAAUUAGCGGAGCGGAGCCAAGUAGAUUCAACCAGACGCUGUCGUUGUCGCCGUCGUCACCGCCGGAGGUGGCACAACCGAGUCUGGACAGUUAGUCGUCCACUCACUUCAUCAAAGAAGAAGAAGAUCACACUCUCUCUCCGCAUCUGUAUCCGACAAAUCGCUGGUCCAAACAUUCGAGCAGAUUGAGGCAUCCUGAGCUGGUUUUUAUGGUCCCAUGCGCCCAAGGCCUCUCACUGCUUUUACAUCGGCCAACAAAUUUCAAAUGGAGCAUCCCUUUUCCAAAGGUGGUGAUGAGGCCUUCUUAUGUUAAGUUUGGCUUGGCAACAUAAUCUGGAAAAAAAGUAAAUUGCAACUCUCAGGUAUUCAGACAAGUCAUGGACGUUGAAACUCAGGAGCCAUGGACGUGGACACAGGGGGCCUUUUUUUCUGCUGGUUGGCCCACAUUUGCUAGAGAAGCUCAUCUGCAUGUAGGAGAUGUUUGUAUUUUUGAGCUAAUUGAUAGUGAGGAUGUGUGUUCAGAGUCUACAUUUCCACUAGAGCUGGUCAGAACAGACAAGUCUGAAUAUCCAGUGAGCCCUCCUAAGAAAUUUUUUCAUGAUUCCAAGUGUUCGAGGCCUCUCACUGCCCUUGAGAAAGCUAGAGAAUUCAAAUUGGAGUAUCCCUUUUCCAGACAGUGAUGUGGCCAUCUUUUCUUAAGAAAGAAGUGGUGGCUGCCUAGGCUUGGGAAGAAGAGGUGACACGAAAUGUCCAGCUUAAGCCAUAGCUACUGCAACAGGCCUAGGCUUGGCAUGACUGAGCUCACUGCAACAGCAUGGCAACACUAGUCAGAUAUUGCUCCCUGGCAACAAAUGGUUUACAAGAGCUACCAUUGCAAGCAGGUUCAAACUUGCAAUCGAAAAUGAAGGGAAGGCAAUGUGGCCUAGACCUCAAAAAUUAGUGCCACCAACUCGAUGGUAUGAAAAGAAGAAAAGAAGCUCACUUCUUUUUGGCCAGGCAAAAGAAGAUCACUUACUUUCUGUGCAUGUGUGUCCAUUUAGGUCCCUAUGUGUAGCUUUUCAUGUUUAUUCAAUGCAUAUCGCAAUGUAAGAUUGGUGACUCAGGUAUUCACCAGAUUCAACUUGUCUCUAUAUUGAUUACACGUACUUAGUGUAGAAUCUAAGAGCACAGGAUUGUGAUAUUUUGAUUUCAGAUUGCAAGUUGUGAUUAAAGGCCAUCUCAUCAUGUCUUUUAGACUGCUAAUAUGGACUUUGGAAACUAACAACUACUAGCAUAAAUGUACGUUUUGUUUGCCUUUUCGCUUUAGUGUAUGCUUACAUUCCUAUGUCUUAUCAUAUAUUGGCUGGUCAAAUGUCUUCA